UUUUACUCCUAUCGGAGGCAGCAGUGGGGAAUAUUGCACAAUGGGCGAAAGCCUGAUGCAGCGACGCCGCGUGAGGGAUGACGGCCUUCGGGUUGUAAACCUCUUUCAGUAGGGAAGAAGCCCUCUUUGGGGGUGACGGUACUUGCAGAAGAAGCGCCGGCUAACUACGUGCCAGCAGCCGCGGUAAUACGUAGGGCGCAAGCGUUAUCCGGAAUUAUUGGGCGUAAAGAGCUCGUAGGCGGUUUGUCGCGUCUGCUGUGAAAGACCGGGGCUCAACUCCGGUUCUGCAGUGGGUACGGGCAGACUAGAGUGCAGUAGGGGAGACUGGAAUUCCUGGUGUAGCGGUGAAAUGCGCAGAUAUCAGGAGGAACACCGAUGGCGAAGGCAGGUCUCUGGGCUGUAACUGACGCUGAGGAGCGAAAGCAUGGGGAGCGAACAGGAUUAGAUACCCUGGUAGUCCAUGCCGUAAACGUUGGGCACUAGGUGUGGGGGACAUUCCACGUUUUCCGCGCCGUAGCUAACGCAUUAAGUGCCCCGCCUGGGGAGUACGGCCGCAAGGCUAAAACUCAAAGGAAUUGACGGGGGCCCGCACAAGCGGCGGAGCAUGCGGAUUAAUUCGAUGCAACGCGAAGAACCUUACCAAGGCUUGACAUGGACCGGAAAGACCUGAAACCAGGUGUCCCCGU
RNAcentral lists this ribosomal RNA (686 nucleotides) under Arthrobacter sp. Its description in RNAcentral is "bacterial SSU rRNA". It matches the Rfam family "Bacterial small subunit ribosomal RNA", at positions 331 to 1019 of the family's 1533-position model. The record is from RNAcentral. Lineage: Bacteria; Bacillati; Actinomycetota; Actinomycetes; Micrococcales; Micrococcaceae.